This 253-nucleotide ribosomal RNA is filed under the name uncultured bacterium. RNAcentral describes it as "partial 16S ribosomal RNA". It matches the Rfam family "Bacterial small subunit ribosomal RNA", at positions 524 to 776 of the family's 1533-position model. The record is from RNAcentral.
UACGAGUGCCCCAAGCGUUACCCGGAAUUAUUGGGAGUAAAGGGUGUGUAGGUGGUGGUAUUAGUCUUCUGUUAAAACUCCUGGCUUAACCGGGAAGAUGCGGGAGAAACGGUACCGCUAGAGGAUGUGAGAGGUAUAUGGAACUCAUAGUGUAGGGGUGAUAUCCGUUGAUAUUAUGGGGAACACCAAAGGCGAAGGCAGUAUACUGGCACAUUCCUGACACUGAGACACGAAAGCGUGGGUAGCGAAUGGG